This 247-nucleotide ribosomal RNA is filed under the name uncultured bacterium. RNAcentral's name for it is "partial 16S ribosomal RNA". It matches the Rfam family "Bacterial small subunit ribosomal RNA", at positions 530 to 776 of the family's 1533-position model. The record is from RNAcentral.
GGGGGCUAGCGUUGCUCGGAAUCACUGGGCGUAAAGGGUGCGUAGGCGGGUCUUUAAGUCAGGGGGGAAAUCCUGGAGCUCAACUCCAGAACUGCCUUUGAUACUGGCGACCUUGAGUCCGGGAGAGGUGAGUGGAACUGCGAGUGUAGAGGUGAAAUUCGUAGAUAUUCGCAAGAACACCAGUGGCGAAGGCGGCUCACUGGCCCGGUACUGACGCUGAGGUGCGAAAGCGUGGGGAGCAAACAGG